Molecule: ribosomal RNA, 455 nt
Filed under: uncultured bacterium
Lineage: Bacteria
Description: bacterial SSU rRNA
Rfam family: Bacterial small subunit ribosomal RNA
Source: RNAcentral
CGGCGAACGGGUGAGUAACACGUGGGCAACCUACCCAGAAGACCGGGAUAACGGCUCGAAAGGGCCGCUAAUACCGGAUAAUGUCGGGGUACCGCAUGGUACUCCGAAGAAAGGGGAAACCCGCUUUUGGAUGGGCCCGCGUCCCAUCAGCUAGUUGGUGAGGUAACGGCUCACCAAGGCGACGACGGGUAGCCGGCCUGAGAGGAUGGUCGGCCACACUGGGACUGAGACACGGCCCAGACUCCUACGGGAGGCAGCAGUUGGGAAUCUUGGGCAAUGGGCGAAAGCCUGACCCAGCGACGCCGCGUGAGGGAAGAAGGCCUUCGGGUCGUAAACCUCUGUCAUGGGGGAAGAAGCAAGUGACGGUACCCCAAGAGGAAGCCCCUGCUAACUACGUGCCAGCAGCCGCGGUAAUACGUAGGGGGCGAGCGUUGUCCGGAUUUACUGGGCGUAAA